Molecule: long non-coding RNA, 1022 nt
Filed under: Cavia porcellus (domestic guinea pig)
Lineage: Eukaryota; Metazoa; Chordata; Mammalia; Rodentia; Caviidae
Description: lncRNA (ENSCPOG00000036023.1)
Source: RNAcentral
AUGCCCCUUUUCUGGGCUCUGCCCUCGGACCUUUCCUUUCCUGACUCCCUCCUCCUGAGGAGCCCACCAACAGCUUCUCCAGGACUCUCUUCAUCUCUGAGAACAAGAAAACAUCCACACCCUGGGAUGAAAACUCGCGGGACCCAACCCAUUUGGACCUUGUGUUUCCCCUACUUGAAAUCCAAGGGCCACCAGACUGUUCCUGAAAGACCUGGUGACUCUCUAGUAGCCCAACCUGGUGAUCAAAUCUACAUCAACAGAAAGGACCCUCUGCUACAGCUGUCAAGGUCACCACAAAGAGCCACUGGAUUCAUCACUCACACUUCAAGCCUGAAGGACCGGAAACUCCAGCUAAGUGGACUACAGAAAGUCUUCUGACCCUUUGAGAGUCAAACUCCAAAGAUGCGAGCCAUAAGACUGUUUAUAUGUGGGUUACUAUUGGGACCAAUAAUCGAACCCAGAUGGUGGACACCUUAAACCUUGAUUCUGGUUCUUCAUGCUGGUGGAGACAGUGACCUAAGUCCCUCACUUUGGAAAACGUUCAGAGCUUUGGACUUUGCAUUCAAUCUGUACGUUUCCCUUUGAAGCACUCCCCAUUUCAAAUCAAUUGUAAUUCAACUGUAUGUACUUUUAGAUAAGAAAGAUGACCAGGAAUCAAGGACUUGAUUCAUGUACUAAAACCAGUGGGGAGUGUUGUAGCUUAGCAUAACGCCAUCUUGUGCCCUGAAUUUGACCCAGAAGAGUGAAAAAUUACUCAGGGUACAAGCCCCAUGAGACAAGCAGAAUGAGCUGCGCCCACAAGAGAAAAGUUAAUCUGCUCAACAAAGAAACAAGAUAUAGGUGUCAACUAAAAAUUAAUGUAAGAGUCUGGCUAAAUUGUUUCCAACAGAAUGUCUUUUUUGUGACUUUCUGUUUUAAAAGCUUUGUAACUUUCCAGUUCAGUGCCACUUGUUUUGACUCUGAAACAGGUCUACAGGUGGUCGCAAAAUUCAGCUAAUAAAAUUCCAAAUUUAGCAAUUAGG